Molecule: ribosomal RNA, 524 nt
Filed under: uncultured bacterium
Lineage: Bacteria
Description: partial 16S ribosomal RNA
Rfam family: Bacterial small subunit ribosomal RNA
Source: RNAcentral
GACGAACGCUGGCGGCGUGCUUAACACAUGCAAGUCGAACGAGACGAUUGAAAGCUUGCUUUCGAAAGUCGAGUGGCAAACGGGUGAGUAACGCGUAGACAACCUGCCUUUGAGAUGGGGACAACAGUUCGAAAGGACUGCUAAUACCGAAUGUUGUAUAUUUUCCACAUGGAAGAUAUAUUAAAGAUGGCCUCUAUUUAUAAGCUAUCGCUCAAAGAUGGGUCUGCGUCUGAUUAGCUGGUUGGUGGGGUAACGGCCUACCAAGGCGACGAUCAGUAGCCGGUCUGAGAGGAUGAACGGCCACAGUGGGACUGAGACACGGCCCAGACUCCUACGGGAGGCAGCAGUGGGGAAUCUUCCACAAUGGACGAAAGUCUGAUGGAGCAACGCCGCGUGAGUGAAGAAGGGUUUCGGCUCGUAAAGCUCUGUUGUCGGGGACGAAUGUGCAGUAUUUGAAUAAAGUACUGCAAUGACGGCACCUGACGAGGAAGCCACGGCUAACUACGUGCCAGCCGCCGCCGUAA